GAUGAACGCUGGCGGCGUGCCUAACACAUGCAAGUCGAGCGGCAGCGAGGGGUGCUCGCACCCUGUCGGCGAGCGGCGGACGGCUGAGUAACGCGUGGGAACGUGCCCCAAAGUGAGGAAUAACUGCCCGAAAGGGUAGCUAAUACCGCAUAUUAUCUUCGGAUCAAAGGAUUUAUCCGCUUUGGGAGCGGCUCGCGUCGGAUUAGGUAGUUGGUGAGGUAAUGGCUCACCAAGCCGACGAUCCGUAGCUGGUCUGAGAGGAUGACCAGCCAGACUGGAACUGAGACACGGUCCAGACUCCUACGGGAGGCAGCAGUGAGGAAUCUUCCACAAUGGGCGAAAGCCUGAUGGAGCAACGCCGCGUGCAGGACGAAGGCCUUCGGGUUGUAAACUGCUUUUAUAAGUGAGGAAUAUGACGGUAACUUAUGAAUAAGGAUCGGCUAACUACGUG
RNAcentral lists this ribosomal RNA (451 nucleotides) under uncultured bacterium. RNAcentral's name for it is "partial 16S ribosomal RNA". It matches the Rfam family "Bacterial small subunit ribosomal RNA", at positions 28 to 507 of the family's 1533-position model. The record is from RNAcentral.